Molecule: ribosomal RNA, 330 nt
Filed under: uncultured microorganism
Description: bacterial SSU rRNA
Rfam family: Archaeal small subunit ribosomal RNA
Source: RNAcentral
GCGCAGCAGUCGAGAAUACUCCGCGAUGCCCGAAAGGGUGACGGGGGAUUCCAAGUGCCUACGCUUAGCGUAGGCUGUUCAGGUGCCUAAAAAGCACCUGGAGGAAGGGCUGGGUAAGACGGGUGCCAUCUGUGGCAGCAGCCAAGAUUUGGCUUGCUACUGCAAGGCAUAAGCCGCCGCGGUAAUACCCGCAGCCCCGAGUGGUAGUCGCUUUUAUGGGCCUAAAGCGUCCGUAGCCGGUCUGGUAAAUGCCCUGGGUAAAUCGUGGGGCUUAACCUCACGAAUUCCGGGUAGACUGCCAGACUUGGGACCGGUUGAGGGAGAGGGUAC